This 645-nucleotide long non-coding RNA is filed under the name Rattus norvegicus (Norway rat). RNAcentral's name for it is "long non-coding RNA NONRATT005740". The record is from RNAcentral. Lineage: Eukaryota; Metazoa; Chordata; Mammalia; Rodentia; Muridae.
UUUUUUUCUUUUUUUUUAAAACUGGAUUUCACUAUGUAGUCUUGGAUACUGGAAAUGGCUAUGCAGACCAUACUGAUCUCGAACUCAGGUCUGCCUGCCUCUGCGUGCUGGGAUGAGCCAUGCUAAGCCAACUUAAAAACAAAACAGUGGGGGUUGGGGAUUUGGCUCAGUGGUAGAGCGCUUGAGCGCAAGGCCCUGGGUUCGAUCCCCAGCUGGGGGGGGUGGGGAACAGUGGGCUGGAAAGAGAUGGCUCAGUGGUUGGGAGCACUGAUUGCUCUUCCAGAGGUCCUGAGUUCAAAUCCCAGCAACCACAUGGUGGCUCACAACCUUAUGGGAUGGGAUCUGAUGACUUCUGGUGUGUUUGAAGACACAGCUACAGUGCACUUAAAUAAUAAGUCUUUAAAAAAAAAAAACAAAAAAAGUAAUAUCAGUGCCUACUGAUGACUUCACUCAACAAAUCUCACCCAAUGACCUCAAAGAUGGCUCCUGGGCUGGAGAGAUGGCUCAGUGGUUAAGAGCACUAACCGCUCUUCCAGAGGUCCUGAGUUCAAAUCCCAGCAACCACAUGGUGGCUCAACCAUCUGUAAUGGUGCCCUCUUCUGGUGUGUUUAACGUUUUAAAAAUUCUUUUUUAAAAAAAAAAACC